GCUGGUGGGGGUGAAGUUUGGAGAGGCUUCUCGUCUGUGUUGUUGGCGCUUAUUAAGAGCAUGAUGCAUAAAAUCCCAGGUUGUCAGAAAAGUAUGCAGGAGGCUGCUGCACGUUCAUUCACCAGCUGACAGAAAAGCAGACGGGAGCCGGCGUUCAGACACAGAACAGGGCAGAGAAAACCAGCUGACAGCAGUGAGUGUGACUGCAGGAAAAGUGGUGGAAAUGCAUGGAGCAGGACGAGCAGAAAGAGCUGCUCCUGUCUGCUGGGGAACAACAGGAAGGAAGGGUGUGUUUCAUGGCAUUCUGCAGAAAAAAGGAAAGUGCUGCUGUUACUGAAACACUUAGACUGUUGAUGGGAUUUCUUGUUUUAUGGAAGGAAACUGUAACCUGUUAGCUGCUAAUUCAGGCAGCAGACAAUCCACUCAACAUGAUAGCAGACCUCAGUGAUGGAAUACCCCUGACCUGCAGUGAGGAUGUGUUCAGCUUCACUGCCCCUGAAAACCAGCUGCAGUCGUAACAUUGAUGGAAGAAUGAAGGAUAACAGUUUGGACUCAAAGGCACAGCUCAGCACACACAGUAGGAAGGAUGUUAGAAAGCUCGUUGUUGUUGGUCUUGUUGAUGGUGAGGACGGCUUGGUGAGGAUCCAGAGGAAGGUGUGUGGUUGGAUGAGAGGAAACAUCAGCUGUAUGUUCCUGGGAGUUCUGCAGGGUUAGAAAGGUGGAAGGUGUGACACGGAGCAGGUGUGCUGGUUUGACUGACUGUGUGAUGACAGGAGAAGCUGAUCCUGGGGGUUGGAAGCUGAAGGUGGAUGGAAGCUGGUGUAGCUACUGGUAGGUUUGAUCUGAGGAGCUGAGGCACAAGGAAUCACCGGAGAGCCCGAGACGUACUCUGGAAGCACACAACUAGAAGCAGGGUUUCCAAAGCACUGCUAGGAUCAUGACCAAAGUGGAACUACCUGAACAUAACCUCAUCAAACUGGAGUCGCCAGUGGCUCAUGAAAACACCACCUGCACUGGAGGUUACAAGACCAACCUCCAUAGCUGAGGUCUGCCAUCUCAUGUGCAGUCAGAAGCCUCAGUCCUGUCGCACUGAGGCAGGAAACAGCAUGCAGGAAAUUGAAGAGAAAAGCAUCUCAAUAAACUUUCAAAAAAUAUAAGUUUGGCUAUAGAUGAUGGAGCCUGCAUAGAGCUGAGGUUUAGCAAACAACAGCCUGUGUUUUGGCCUCCGUUGCCCACAGUGACACCUUGGAGCUGCCCAGAACAACCACAGCUGUCAAGGUCACCUCUGUGGGACUCGGCCGUCACUCGCUCACCUCCUGGUCGGGGACAUUUGCAGACGUCGCUUUUCCACGUGUUUGGUUUAACUGCAGUAAUGAUGUGUUGUAUUUGUUGCAAAGCAUGUAAAUGUCACCAAACUUUUUCUGCUAGAUGAUUAAACUGGGCAACAGGAAGUGGCUAAGCGAUGUAGUGAAAUGUGUAAUGAUGUAGGCCUCAGUGGAAGAGGAUUUAUCUGCUAAAUCCCAGCAGCUGGCCCUGCUAUCGUGGACAAUGACCCUAAAUAAUGUCAACAGCUCGUUUCCACCAGAGCUGUGUGUGUGUGUGUGUGUGUGUGUGUGUGUGUGUGUGUGUGUGUGUGUGUGUGUGUGUGUGUGUGUAAGCUGCUAGCGGUGCAGCUCACUGAUAUCGGCUCGUUUCUGUUCCGCUCACCACUUUAUAGUGAACAAAGCAGCAGUCGGACGUUGGGUUCGUAGGUGCUGAGUCAAAGAUUUUCUCUCGUAAUGUAAUCCAAGCUUCAGCACACACAAGCGUAAUUACUCCUCAAAGGUUUAUACUGCAAUAAAAUCAACACACAGCUGUAGAUGUUUUGAUUUGGAAAAAGGAUCGUUUAAACUGUCUGAUUGAUCCUGAUCGGUUUCAGUUUUGACUAUUUGUGACUGAAUCACGCAUUAACAUUCAUACAAAUUGAAUCAACAUUUAUGCUUCUUUUCACAGAUGUAAUGAUGAGAAUAAAACAUUUUGACCACUACUUUUAUAAAUCUAUUUUUAAGCAGCGAUGCCAAACACUUGAUGGUUCGGUUCGAGCUCCUCCAUUGUGAGAAUUUCUUCCUUUUGCUUGUUUUGUAUUGGACUGUUAAUCAACAACUAGCAAUUUGAAGGCUCCGUUUACCUUUUGGCAGACCAAAUGUUCAGGUGAUUACCUGAGGAAACAGUGGUUGGAUUAAUCAGAAGGAGCAGCUGCUGCUUUAAAUCAUCUGUUCUGUUUUGUUAGACUGCUUUGAAUGGCUGCUUAUUGUUUGCUUUCAGGUGCUGCUUCUCUUACGCUCAGCUCAGUGUUCUGUCACUGUGAAUGUUGGCAUGUUGCUUCUGUCAUUUUCUUCUUCUCUAAUUGAUUAGACAAAGCCUAUCGGUGAAUCGUGCAGUCGAUUUUGGGUUAAAAUGCCUCUUUGUGCCUCCUGCUCCCCAGCGCCGGCCCAGAUUAAAGUCAGUCAUGAGAGUGAGCGUGAGCUGAGGACAGGGGAAUGAGCAAAUCCAAAACACUUCAAAAUUUGUCAUUAGUGUGGCGCUACAUUCUUUCAUUACCGAGUUUAUCAGAGCAACCAGCCAUAAGGCGCAGGUUCAUGCACCCUUGAGCACAAAGACUCAAGUUGUUCUACAUUUACAGAAUCAUUUAACUUCUUUAAUUAUUCUUUAAAUUACAAUUGCAAAUAAAGGCUCUGCCCGCGGUGGAUAUGCAUGGCCUGCAAAAAGAGCAACAUUUUUAAUGAUUACUUUGCAUCGUACCAAACUAAUCUCCCAUGGACAAGAAAUGAAUGAAAAAGGGAAGAUUUUCUCUGCCAUUCUGCUUUAAUGGAGGGUGCAUCCGUCAUCAGGCGCAGUGACUGUUCUGGACCAGAUGUUGCAGAACUAACCAACAAUUGGGCUGAAAAUAGAAAAGGAGCAGGGGCGGGGAGGUUGGAAUAAAUUAAUUGCUAAUUUCUCAGUCUUUGAUGGAAUUAGGCUCACUUCUUUCCCCCUAUGUGCUGUGUGAAUGUCCAUGCGUUAAACGUUUUUUCUUCUCCCGCCACCCCCUCUCCUCUCUUUGCUUUCCUGACGGUUAAGGGCCACCCAGAGGAGAGUGAGUGAUGCAAAACCGAGGAGUAAUCCCUCUGUUUAUCUCGGCUUCGAGGCUCGGCCCCAACCUCUGCCUCUAUUAUCCCGAGGAUUUAAGGCAAACUUUCAUUUAUUGGCCGGCCUCCGUUCUCUAUCCCGGCUCCUGAGCUCAGGAUACCCCCUCCCAGAGCCUCUGUCCCAGUGUGAGCGGAUUUGCAUGGAGCAACAAUGCAUGUUGCCAGGGCAGUGGCCAGUCAGCGGUGGGACAAGCCUGCUCAGAAGCGCAGUUUGCUCAGGCAGCACAUGGCUAUAGAAGAAUGUGGCCUUCAGGGGGGAAGGAGCAGCACCUGCGUGGCGUGGCAGCCAGGCCUCACUACGCCACCGAAAACAGCAGAUGUACCGCAAUAUGGACGCCGACUCCCUCCCCCCCUCGUUCACACAAAUGAACAAACGGGGCAGGAAGCGUCCGGCCCAAAAUGAACAAACGGGCUUUUGGAGGAGGGUGGAGUGUCGGAGGAGAGGCCUCACCUGCUGAAGAGCUUCACCUGCUGCUUUACCACGUUUGGCCAGAACCUGCUCGUUUCCUCACGUUCUCCUCGAUCUUCCCACAAUAAAAAGCUCUGAACAGCA
Acanthochromis polyacanthus (spiny chromis) is the source of this 3720-nucleotide long non-coding RNA. RefSeq lists it as uncharacterized. NCBI's taxonomy places the organism in Eukaryota, Metazoa, Chordata, Actinopteri, Pomacentridae. The transcript has 6 exons. The record is from RefSeq and is a predicted model, not a curated record.